Molecule: ribosomal RNA, 346 nt
Filed under: uncultured fungus
Lineage: Eukaryota; Fungi
Description: bacterial SSU rRNA
Rfam family: Eukaryotic small subunit ribosomal RNA
Source: RNAcentral
AUGCUUGUCUCAAAGAUUAAGCCAUGCAUGUCUAAGUAUAAACAAGUCUAUACUGUGAAACUGCGAAUGGCUCAUUAAAUCAGUUAUAGUUUAUUUGAUAAUACCUUACUACUUGGAUAACCGUAGUAAUUCUAGAGCUAAUACAUGCUAAAAAACCCGACUUUACGGAAGGGUUGUAUUUAUUAGAUAAAAAACCAAUGCGGCCUCGGCCGGUUAUUUGGUGAUUCAUAAUAACUUAACGGAUCGCAUGGCCUCGUGCCGGCGAUAGUUCAUUCAAAUUUCUGCCCUAUCAACUUUCGAUGGUACGGUAUUGGCCUACCAUGGUUACAACGGGUAACGGGGAAUA